ACGGAAGGCAGCAGUCGGGAAUAUUGCACAAUGGAGGAAACUCUGAUGCAGUGACGCCGCGUAUAGGAAGAAGGUUUUCGGAUUGUAAACUAUUGUCGACAGGGAAGCAAAAUGACGGUACCUGUGGAGGAAGCCCCGGCUAACUACGUGCCAGCAGCCGCGGUAAUACGUAGGGGGCGAGCGUUGUCCGGAAUUAUUGGGUGUAAAGGGUGCGUAGACGGGAUAUUAAGUUGGUUGUGAAAUCCCCAGGCUUAACUUGGGAACUGCAACCAAAACUGAUGUUCUUGAGUACAGGAGAGGAAAGUGGAAUUCCUAGUGUAGCGGUAAAAUGCGUAGAGAUUAGGAGGAACACCAGUGGCGAAGGCGACUUUCUGGACUGAAACUGACGUUGAGGCACGAAAGUGUGGGGAGCAAACAGGAUUAGAUACCCUGGUA
This 435-nucleotide ribosomal RNA is filed under the name uncultured Oscillospiraceae bacterium. RNAcentral's name for it is "bacterial SSU rRNA". It matches the Rfam family "Bacterial small subunit ribosomal RNA", at positions 341 to 792 of the family's 1533-position model. The record is from RNAcentral. Lineage: Bacteria; Bacillati; Bacillota; Clostridia; Eubacteriales; Oscillospiraceae.